UACGUAGGGUGCGAGCGUUUGUCCGGAAUUAUUGGGCGUAAAGAGCUCGUAGGCGGUUUGUUGCGUCGGCUGUGAAAACCUGCGGCUUAACUGUGGGCUUGCAGUCGAUACGGGCAGACUUGAGUUCGGCAGGGGAGACUGGGAAUUCCUGGUGUAGCGGUGAAAUGCGCAGAUAUCAGAGGACACCGGUGCGAAGGCGGGAUCUCUGGGGCCGAAUGACUGACGUGAGGAGCGAAA
RNAcentral lists this ribosomal RNA (237 nucleotides) under uncultured bacterium. RNAcentral describes it as "partial 16S ribosomal RNA". It matches the Rfam family "Bacterial small subunit ribosomal RNA", at positions 524 to 758 of the family's 1533-position model. The record is from RNAcentral.